CAUUACCCACCCACCCACCAAAGCCAUUACCCUCUCUCUUGUUCGUCUCUCACAUCAGAGACCCAAAAUCCCCUCGAAACCCUAGUCCCGCUGGAAUAUACCACUGCCUCAAUGCCGGAGGCAACUAGACCAAUAGCCCCCAAAUUAACAGCCUGAAGCCAGUAGCCCACCCUCAACCUGAAUCCGUCGAUUGCUUAACUUGAAUCACCGUGGAGCUUCUCGAAUUUUCAGUUGAAGAUUCGAGCAGAACUCGAAACCAUCCCAAUCAGGCCCACAUUCAUACCACGGGACCCCCGGACCUCCCCCACCUCUAGAACACCCUGGGUUUUGCUCGAAUCUUACCAGAACCUCUCGAAUCCUAAAUUGAACCAGGGAGCCCUAACGAAGAUUGAACCAGAAUCAAUCCAAAUUGGUAGAAGUUUGGGGUUCAUAAUCUACCUUAAUCAGGUGUUCUCCGGCUAGGGCUUGCACUGACUCGAAUUAUUUGAUUGUUCGUAAUUGGUCAUAAACUACGUAGUCGAUUAAUUAAGUUUGGUCGAUUAUUGGCUUGAAGUUUGUUUGUGCCCUUCGAACUGGUUGGUACCAGUUUGCCUAUGCCUGAUUCAAAAUGUCCUGUUAAUUCUAUUCUGCUGCCUGAAUCCAUUAGCAAUUGAAUUCAUACUAGUUUCAGUUUGAAUUGCAAUUAAUCAAGCAUUUAGUUUGGACUAGUAUUGAAAUGAUGCCCCUGGUUUAUGCAUUUUUAGAUGAAUAAUGGCUUUGUUUAUUCAUUUAGAUUUAGGAAAUUUGAAAGCAUGUGAUUUGUAUCUCAUUAAUGAAUUAAGGUUAACUGGACAGCAUGUGCUGUCAGGGUAUAUUCCUGCUGCCCACAUUUGUUUAGUUUAACAAAAGAGAAAAACACUUUAAUAAUAAAAGGAGCGGAGUUGUCAAGGAAUAUUACUCCUUUUGAACUUUUGAAGGGGAAAAUUCAGAGAAGAACAUGGGUGCAUUCACUUCUUAAUUAGGGAUAAUGUUCCUACGAGCUGGAAAAAGAAAAAGAACAUGAGGGAGUAAUGAAUGAGGCAACUGUCUUUGUGCUUUUUAAGGGUGGGAAUGGGCUAUAAAUAGGAGGAUUAAACACUGAAUAAAGGGGGAUUUUUGAAUAUUAGAAUUUCAGAGCUUAGGGCUAGAUUCUGAAUACAUAAGUUCAGUAUUUUUUAGAGUUAAAAACAAAAAGAAAUUGGUUUCCCUUUACUAUUGAAUAUCAGUAUUUGGAUUGUUGUCAAUGUUUGAUUGAAUUUCAAAGCUUCGGUUUGUUUGUUUCUUAGAGUUUUCCAUAAGCAGAAAUAUAACUUCUCUAGCAUCUGCCUUACUUUUGCUAAGUUGUGAGUGUAUUGUGGGUGUCACUUGAUUUACAGUGUGAUAUUCUUGGGUUUUUUGUUGGUGUUUAGCUCCGGGAGUUACUGUUAUUUGGGGUGUUGCUGAGUUGCUGUUGGUUCUGAUAUAUUUGUCAUAUACUUGGGUUUUGUUGUUUGAACCUUCUGGAACUGCAUCUUGGUUUCCUUAAGUGUCCUGCUUGAUUUCAAAUCCUUCCUGGGUCAUCUGUUGUCACUGGUUCAUUGCUAUUGUUGCUGGAUUUUGUGAUGCUGCUGUUGCUGUGCUAUUGCUUGAUUCAACACUGAUCAUCCUCUCUUAUUUGUUUUCCAAAUACCAGGUACACAUUGCUAUACUGGGACACUUGUUGCUGAAACUUGAAGCAUAAAUGAAAUGAAGUUUUAAAGUUUUGAAUUGGUUUAGUUGCUGUUUGAUAUACUAAGUUGUAUAUGUUAGUUAGUAGUCUUCAUAAGAAACAUUUAAAGUGAUUUUUGUGUCUAACUGAGUUAAGUCUCUAACAGUUUAGAGGGUGAAUUCUCUCUCAUAUGCUAGUUUAAAGAACCCAUGAUGUAGUAGUAACAUUCUAGCAUUUCAGUAUAUUCUUUACAAGCAUGCUGCAAAUAUGUAUAAGGCCUUAGGGUAACUACUUAAUAACUUAAACUCUUUCAAUUAACGAGUCAUGUAUCUACAUUCAUAAGAGCAGGUUUUUAUUAGACAUAAUUUCUAUUGUCGCUUCUUAAAAUGUCAAACCAAUGUAAAAGCAACAGCAGGCCCGACACUAAAUAGGAAUAGCCCAGGUCUAGUUCCGUGCCAUGUUCGAUGGGCCUGGACCCAAAAAUGUUCAGCCCGCGUUCAUGCCCGUUUCUCAGCCCAAGUUAUGUUAAACUUAGCCAUAAUAACUCAAGCAUGUAAUUAAAUUAGGUAGUUCGUCAGUUUCAAGAAUGUAAAUAAAUUAGGUAUUUUCUUCUUUCGUUUUAGAGACAAACGAAAUAGAAAACGUAAUCACUUUAAGAUAUCCUCUAAAAGGAAACGAGGCGUUCCUCGCCAAAAUGAGUUGCAAAUCGCGAGGCCCUCAAUUAAAAGGACAUAAUAAGCGAAUAGACUUCGGAAUGGGCCGCUAAAUGAAUUUCACGGCAUUUUCCCAAAAUAACAACACGUUAGUCUCUUUAGGAUGCGCCUUAAUUAAUCUUACCUUCCUAAACUCGGGUGUGCAUUUAUGCGAUCCAAAUCCAAGUCUUGACGAAGUCGAACUGUUCCGACAAACUCCGUGCACACUGGUUGUGACGUAGUUCGAGGUGCAUUUCCACGACGUCGCAAUUCUUUGAAACAAAAUAACUAAUGAGUCGAGCCUCACCAAAUAAUAUUGCUCAAGCUGCAGGGCCCUCGAUACAUAUUUACAAGAAUUGCUUAGACUCCGGAACGGGUCGUUUAACAAAAUUUCAUGGCCUUGCCCAAAACAACAUUACGCUAGUCACUUAGGUCACGUCUUUAAUAAAAAUUAAUUCCCUAAACACGGGUGUGCAUUUAUGCAACCCAAAUACAAUCUCAGUGAAGUCGAAAAUGUGUCGAUGGCCACGCGUACAUUGGUUAUGACGUGGUCCAAGAUACGUUUUCAUAACGUUGCAAUUAUUUUGUAAAAAUAAAAAACAAUAACAAUAAAUCUUUAAGAAGUCACAAUUUGCACUAAGUAUAUGAUGUUUAAAAUCAGAUAAAAUAAGCCGAGUAGAAUAAUUAAGUGACAGUAUUAGAACCACGGAACUCGGGAAUGCCUAACACCUUCUCCCGGGUUAACAAAAUUCCUUAUCUGG
This 3158-nucleotide long non-coding RNA is filed under the name Nicotiana benthamiana. RNAcentral's name for it is "long non-coding RNA (NBEN_LNC035317)". The record is from RNAcentral. Lineage: Eukaryota; Viridiplantae; Streptophyta; Magnoliopsida; Solanales; Solanaceae.